GCAUUAUUCUGAACUGAUCCUCAGCACCAUUCUGGGCGGUGGAUCCAUUAGUUUAAAGAGCCCCAUGAGUAAGCAGUGAAAUGGAAGCUGAUUAGCUGUGAGUCAUGGCCCAAGGCUCAGCUGCUCUGGCCCCUGGAUAAAAAAACAGCUUUUCCAGGUGGUCGCCAUGGAGCCCAGAUCGCUGCUUUGUGUUCAGGUACUUAAGAUGCUCAUUUUCCAGGAGACGCAGAAGCUGUGGAGAUAAGGAGCCAGGGAGGCCCCGGCGGGCAGUAGUCACCCAACUCAGGAAUCCUUCUGAGGGACAUUUGUGGAUUAUCUGGGGUCCAGGGGACAGGCUGGUCUUGGGAUGAGAUGUGGCAUGAGAACUGAUCAGUUUCACAAGAGUCCAGCAUCCAGCUUUGUCUACUAUCCCUCUUCAGCUGUUCCAAAUGUCACCAUCCCCUCAUUCAGAGCCCUUCUGAAAAGUCACUUCCUCCAGGAAGCAUCCCCUGAAGAUGUGUUCCUCCACCUUCCGGGUCAUGCCUUUCAUUGGCUACUUCCAGGACCUGUUGAGGUGUUGGGGAAGAAGCCUGGGUUAGUGGAGCCUGAAGUUGGCUCCUGCUAUUGCAGCCUCCAGAGCCCAGAGCUGAGACUUAAAGCAGGCAUAAGGCACUGUUAUCAAAGAAAUUUGGAAAGCAAGCAUCAUCUUUGUUUGAAAGAGACUCAGCAAAGCAACAAACUCAAAAAAUAGGCUCUUCACUGAUGUCAAAGCGUAAACUACGGAGGGUAACAGGGAAUGAAAAUGUUGAAAAUCACCUUGGCUGUCAACGUCACAGCACCAUCUUUGUGGUCAUCACAAAUGUCAUUCUCAUCCUUGUCUUCCUCAUCACUUUCACCACAGUCAUCAACACUGACACAAUCUUCGUCUAUCAUCAUCAUUAAGGUGGAGUCACCUACCAGCUGGUUGCCGAUCUCACCAACCUGCCAACUGUCCAUCCCCUGCCAAUGACACCCUGGAGGGGGGCCCCAACUGAUGGCAGCAGACCGGCGGAGCCUUAAAUAGUACGGGAUCAGUGCCAGGGAUGAUCUUUUCUCUUUUUUAUUAACAUUGUUACCUGAAGUCUA
Long non-coding RNA from Ornithorhynchus anatinus (platypus), 1104 nucleotides. RefSeq lists it as uncharacterized. Lineage: Eukaryota; Metazoa; Chordata; Mammalia; Monotremata; Ornithorhynchidae. The record is from RefSeq and is a predicted model, not a curated record. The transcript is spliced from 3 exons.